AGAAUUUAAUUUUCGACUAUAAAAAGCGAAUCAGCUAAAUUGUAAUUCUCAUUCACAUUCAUUCAUUUGAUUUGAUAACAUUUGAAAUCAGCUUAGUGCAGUAAUUUGUUGAUUCUGUUUCAUUUUUGGAUAACCAAAGGAUAACCAACUAAACAAUCAAAAUGCGUUCAAUUACAAUCUGUUGUUUAAUCGCCGCUGUGAUGAUCAUUCUCGUCACUUUCACUCCAAGCGGAAGUGAAGCCUCCCGAAGGAAAAUCAUGAAGAUCAAAAAACUCGCUGCUCUUGCCCUUCUUCUUAAGUCCAAGAAAAAGUACAUCUUCCCAAUUCCACUUCCUCUUCCUCUCCCAGUUCCAGUUCUCAAGAAAACUGUCCAAGCCUGGCCUGAACCUUCAUGGCCCGAACCAUCAUGGCCUAGCAGUGACUCUUGGUCUCAACCCCAAGCUGGUUGGUGGUAAAUUAGAUGAUAAAUUCUGAUCAUGAUUAUUAAAUUAAUCUCUUGAUCCCUUCGAUAUCAUCAGCUGAUUAUUAGGUCAUUAAAAUUUUUAUUUGUAAAUAUAAAUUUUCAUUAAGAUGAUUAAAGAUAACUGGAUUAUCUAAAUAUCAUUAAAUCUGAUGCCUUUCAUUUUA
Panonychus citri (citrus red mite) is the source of this 627-nucleotide long non-coding RNA. RefSeq lists it as uncharacterized. Lineage: Eukaryota; Metazoa; Arthropoda; Arachnida; Trombidiformes; Tetranychidae. The record is from RefSeq and is a predicted model, not a curated record. The transcript is spliced from 3 exons.